UUGGAGGGCAAGUCUGGUGCCAGCAGCCGCGGUAAUUCCAGCUCCAAUAGCGUAUAUUAAAGUUGUUGCAGUUAAAAAGCUCGUAGUUGAAUUUCGGAGUUUGUCGGUUGGUCGGGCUUCACUGUUCGCACUGACCUGAUGGAUUCCUACCUUCUGAAUAACCAGCAUGCUAUUAAGUCAGUGCGUUGGGGAAGCAGAGCUAUUACCUUGAAAAAAUUAGAGUGCCUAAAGCAGGCAUUUUUGCUCGAAUACAUUAGCAUGGAAUAAUAGAAUAGGACGGCAUGGUUCUAUUUUGUUGGUUUCUAGGAUCACCGUAAUGAUUAAUAGGGAUAGUUGGGGGCAUUAGUAUUCAAUUGUCAGAGGUGAAAUUCUUGGAUUUAUUGAAGACUAACUACUGCGAAAGCAUUUGCCAAGGAUGUUUUCAUUAAUCAAGAACGAGAGUUAGGGGAUCGAAGACGAUCAGAUACCGUCGUAGUCUUAACCAUAAACUAUGCCGACUAGGGAUCGGAUGAUGUUAAUUUUUUAAUGACUCAUUCGGCGCCUUACGGGAAAC
RNAcentral lists this ribosomal RNA (553 nucleotides) under uncultured Acaulospora. RNAcentral's name for it is "SSU rRNA". It matches the Rfam family "Eukaryotic small subunit ribosomal RNA", at positions 548 to 1098 of the family's 1831-position model. Lineage: Eukaryota; Fungi; Glomeromycota; Glomeromycetes; Diversisporales; Acaulosporaceae. The record is from RNAcentral.